This is a long non-coding RNA of Betta splendens (Siamese fighting fish), 4128 nucleotides long. RefSeq lists it as uncharacterized. The record is from RefSeq and is a predicted model, not a curated record. Lineage: Eukaryota; Metazoa; Chordata; Actinopteri; Anabantiformes; Osphronemidae. The transcript has 3 exons.
CAUGCUCCCUAACACAGUCACACCCUAACGCAGAAACGAGGGCUGUCGGUGGUUAGAAGCUGUAGCACACUGAUAACAACGCGCCCUCCGAUUAGCACUCGUCCGUUCUUUCUCACAAAACUGAACCUUGGACUUGCGAUCAAAGAAUAGUUUGUGGAACAGAUGAUUCUUAACAGAUUCCCCAGCGCUGACUCAACAGGGAGAGAACCUGCUGCUGAUCUGCUAUAACAAACAGCGUGACUCCCCUGACGCGGCACGGACACCGACUGAGCUCCUCGGCCGGAGCUUCUCAAUCUGCCUCCAUUACCAUGGCAAUCAGAGCCGAGCCUUCACCGCAGGAGACGCCUCCCUGAAGCUUAGGUUUUCUGCCUGGUUGCCCUGAUCAGACAUGUGCUGAGGGGCGGUCGCAGAUAAGGCAGGACGGAUGGAGUUAUAUGGAGUCAGGCCUUUGUGUGUCUUAUCUGCACCGUGGUCUCUGCCUGAGACCAGCUCACCUCUGGAGGGGGAGACGCUGCACUUCGUCUUCUCAGAUGAAGGCCCUCAGAGCUUGCGACCUCCUCCGAUGCCACCCUCGGUCCAAAGACCCGGGAAGUCAACGUUUGAGAGCAUCAGGAAGCUCCUCCGUCGCCCCCGACGGCGCUGCGUCAGGCGCUGGGUGUGGAGUGAAACGUCGGCCCGCGCUUUCUAUGAGAACCAGAGCCUGCAGCUCCCACAUGGUGUGAAAGCUCUGGGGGAGGAGGGCAGGUCACGGCGGGAUGGGCCGGGUUACGUCUCCUCACCCUCAGAGCCAUAAAUCAAAAUAAAUUAAAGUCAGGCUCCCAGCACAUAUGGUGCCUUCAGGAACGGGGCUCUUUAAACCAGGACAGGCUUCAACCAUUUAUAGUUUAGGGAGGAUUGUUGAGGCCGACCAGUGUUUCCUAGCAACUGGCCAGUUUCAAAUGAAAGAUUCAAUGUGGUUGCAUAGUGUAAAGACAUGAGAAGUCACGGGGGGCAUCAUAGAGUGCAUAACCUUCAAUACUGCAACAGUUCAGGAAAACUGUCAACCAUUACAAUAUGACUUGAGAUUUUAGUAAAUGAUGUAACUAACAUUUCUCUAAGAAUCUAAACACCCUUUCAUUUCCUUAACUAGAACCGCAAAGAGCACCAGUUGCAUCAGUUUGCUCUGGAGGCCGUCAUGGCGUCAGUACAGUGGAAGCUCUUCCUCCUCUUCCUCCUCCUCUUCCUCCUGUCUCACAGGGCAUUAGCCAUAAGUCCAGGCUAAGCCUCUUAUCACCUUCUCCCCACAGCGCUCUUUUGUUUGUGCUCUCUUCCCUCUGCGGAGCCUCCCGACUCUGAUUCUCUAAUUAUUUUCCCGAUUGAAGCAACGACGAUGUCGACGCCAACAUUUGGGAGACGCUCGAUAAAGCGCCGGACGUGUCACACGUAGACUUUCCCCCAUAUUUGAGCAAUUACAGCACGUGACUGUUUGACAGGGUUUCAAACGGAGUCAUUAGCGAGUCUGUGGCGGAGGAUAAUUUUAGUAAAUUCAUGCGAUCGCCCUAGAAACCACUGACAUUCCCGUUAAAUCUAUGUCAUCUCCUAUAUGUAAUUAGCUGCGUCCUUCAUACUAGUGAGUGACCCGCGUGCCCCGCCACCGCUGGCUGCCAUAAUGAGUUCAUUUACAGCGUGGUUAAAACGGUGGUGGAUGAAUCAUCACGUCCACGGGGCCUGGCUCCAAACAUAGAACUUCAUAACAAGUGCAGAUUCGUUUCCAAAGGUGGAUUAUGUUUCAGAUUUAAUGCCGCGUGACGCGUUCCUCAAGUCGCAGAUGUGUCACAGGAUCCGAAAGGGAGCGACACCAGAGAUACAGGUACAAUGCGUCGUACCGUGAACGAGAGAAGGUCCCGAUGUAUCAGACACAGUGUCAAGUGUCAACACAAAAAUAGCUUCUUUUGCUGUGAGGAAUCUGUAUCUACCAACCAUCCGAGACACACUCUUAUGAAAACAACCAGCACAUUCUGCAUUGUCAACAUAUUUCCCCAUAAACUUCCUUGUUGGUUUCACACCAGGAAACAACUACAGAUACAUAGAUAGUUAAAUGUGUCCAAGGCACCUUGAAAAAAUCAACAGGACCUCAGCUGGUUGGGUGGUUUCAUCAUGUGUGUUGAUCUGAUGUGGGUCAUACAGACAGCGAGAAGUGGUGUCAUGGCCGAGACGGUGAAGAAGAAGAACACAAACAAACCUUUGUUGCUUCUGGAUCCACUCUGUGCCACUUUUGAUCUCCUAUAAAGUUGUGCAUUAGAAAACACACCUACUUUGAUGCAGUGUGGCAUUGACUCAUUCACACUUUAUUACUAAACUGAUCACAGCAGCUUCGUUCCAGUUAAUCUCUGUAAACCUGCUCAUCAUCAGUCUCUGCAUUCACACAAACACUUCCUCCCAGAUGAAAUAGUUUCAUUAUGAGCUCCUUUCCUCCUCUGCAGGUUAACCCACUGCUUUCAUUUCCAUGAACAGAUAAUGGGCCAAUUCAACUGUAAAUGUAUUCUGAUUAACCAUAAUCCACCUAAAGAGGUUUCAAAACCGCUGAAGCUGAAGUACGUGAGCUGAAACAUGAGACCAAAGUCCUGAAGCCAGACUGGAGCCUAAUUAGCAAUCACACACACGCACACACGCACACACGCACACACGCACACACACACACACGCACACACACACACACACACACACACACACACACACACACACACACACACACACACACACACACACACACACACACACACACACACACACACACACACACACACACACACACACACACACACAGUCUUUGUCUCGGGGCACAGUUUGAUAUGCUGCAGCCGGGCCUCUGAGCUCCCACUGAAAGCAGAGCCUUCAAAAGCAGACGUGUCCACCUCCACCUGCCUCCUCAGGAGACACAGAUGAGGCCUUGUUCAGCUUUAGAAGCAACCGGCACAUUUCAGUCCGCCCCAAAUGACUCCGACAAUUAACCUGAAAGCCACACUGCAUUAUUUGGAAGGUUAAACACUUUCAUUUACUAUUUGUUUAUCAAACCAGCUGCAGGAACUGGAGACUUCCAGGGAGUUUUUCCCAGGAUUAAUGAUGAAAACAGACUGACUACGACGAGUAGUUUCAUAAACAGACCACGGUGCCAGGCGCUGCCUUGGCUGCACAUUCUGUGAACCAUAAAGGUCUCUAUUCCUCCGUGCGUUUAUCAGAGAUCUGAAAAGUCAACAGUGACUUAAACCCUAACGGGCUCGUGACUGCGUGGUACAAGUUCAGCAGCUUUCAGCACAAUGAGCUGCCCCACAGGGAACGAGGUGACGUGGGCCUGGUGCAACGAGGACCUGUUCACCCAGAGCAGGUGCAUCCUGGUUCAGCAGGAAGUCUCUGCACACGCUCCGUCUGACGAACGCGUGGGCCGGAGCGGUUCUGGGAAGGAAAACCCGGCGCGGAGCCAUCUCUCGUCUGCUAUUGUCCACAUCUGCGCCAGGGGUUUUUCCUCGCAGCGAUUCAGUGCAACGCCUGGAGGAUUUCACGCAUAACGUCGGCGGCGUGAGACAAGCUGCGACGUUUCCAGGUCCCAGUUUGUCCCAGCGCUCUGAAUCCCAGUCUGGGAACGCUGACAGCUUGUCUCCUGUGCGUCGGCUGCUGCUGUGGCGCUCUGCGGCGUGUUGGCGUUUCCAUACGUGCUGGGACUGAUAAGGCAGUUUUAGUGAGUGAGGCACUUUGUGACACCUACAUUUAAGAGCUGGUGUCACGUUUUGUUAAAACACCCCGAGGACAAGAUGUGGAGUGACAUGAUAGCGCGAGAAGUGGAAGAUGAACUGUAUAAAGCCUCAGGAGAACAGAGAUGAAUGAAACACACACAUACAGGUACAGGGUCAGUUCAAGGACAGGAACGGAGCCAUGUCAAAGUGUGUGCAUGUUAAUUACUUAUGAUCGAAAUCUGACCAGCAAACAGUUAUUUCAAAACAUUAAAUCAUAACAUCCUGAGCCAUUUUAUUAAUAAUAAAAUUUAAAUGAUGUAUCUGUCAUCAGAAACUAAAAUCAUUUGUUAAUUAGCUUGUUUCAUUGAGGUCCGCUGUGAACAUGAGUUGAAUGUAAUAAAAUGAAUCUUUGAUCAUG